Molecule: long non-coding RNA, 970 nt
Filed under: Ficedula albicollis (Collared flycatcher)
Lineage: Eukaryota; Metazoa; Chordata; Aves; Passeriformes; Muscicapidae
Description: lncRNA (ENSFALG00000028381.1)
Rfam family: SOX2 overlapping transcript exon 3 (bases 373-640)
Source: RNAcentral
CAUAUCAAGAUGAAAUGUCAUAAUUUCUUUUAUGCUGUAUAUAUUUUUACACUUAAACAACUCGAACACUAUUUCUUCCCACAGUUGUGCCUCCCUCUCAGAGCUAAAGGAGAACUAGAUGUGUCCCAGCUUGGACAUCAUGGAGAGUGAAAUCAAAGUUCUGUUUGAUUUAUCUGAUGAGUUCAUUUUACAGCAUCUUAUUGCUCUGCGUCUUCAACUGCUCAGCCUUGUGGUGAGAUUUCCUAGGGGUAAUUAUUUCCCACUGACUCAGACCACAGGACAGUGUGAACACCUAACAAAUAGUAUGAGGCUGAUAUGGAGAAUAUACCAAGUCAACUGGAUGAGUCAGCACAGGCAGUACAAUGGACUGCAGUUAAGAGCUAGGGCUAGGACUUGGAGGAUGUGUAGGCAAACGGAAAGAGAGCCGGGGAAAGAAAAACCGAAAUGGAUUCAUUCUCUCUCCUGGAUGGAGGAGGAGAGGAGAAGAGAAGGGGACGUGCGAGCUUCCUUCAACUGCCUCUGUCCGGUGAAAAGUGCUCAGACCCCCGGGGCUGCGCCGGGCUCCGGAGUCCGCGCGGACUUUCGCGUUGAGCUGCCAAUCAAACCGCUCACAGCCACCACCCUGCUCUGGCACCGACAUGUAAGUAGCUGCAGCACAACUUUGACAUUCACAGUUUUUCCCCCCUCCUCCCCCGUGACCUUUAAAACGAUCUGGAAAUGUAGCUCCCACCUACGACCCGCCGCUCUGAGCUCCACCGCGUUGAGCUCGGGGACUCGCGCACGGGUUUGGGCUCGGCUGAAAUUGCGCGGCCGCGCAUGGCGAGCGACGCGCUGGGCAGAAGCGCUCCCGGUCCGCGGGCUGCAUCUGCCCUGUCUGCUCCUCACCCGCGGGGAGCGCUCGGGUGAAGCAGAGGGGGGGGGGGGGGGGGGGGGGGGGGGGGGGGGGGGGGGGGGGGGGGGGGGGGGGGGG